AUUGAACGCUGGCGGCGUGCUUAACACAUGCAAGUCGAGCGGUAACGCGGGGGCAACCCUGGCGACGAGCGGCGAACGGGUGCGUAAUACAUGGGAAUCUGCCCUGUAGUGGGGAAUAACCCGGCGAAAGCCGGGCUAAUGCCGCAUACGAUCUACGGAUGAAAGGCGGGGGACCUUCGGGCCUCGCGCUAUUGGAUGAGCCCAUGUCGGAUUAGCUAGUUGGUGAGGUAACGGCUCACCAAGGCGACGAUCCGUAGCUGGUCUGAGAGGACGGCCAGCCACACUGGGACUGAGACACGGCCCAGACUCCUACGGGAGGCAGCAGUGGGGAAUAUUGGACAAUGGGGGAAACCCUGAUCCAGCGACGCCGCGUGUGUGAAGAAGGCCUGCGGGUUGUAAAGCACUUUUGGUGGGAACGAAAUAGUGGCCGGGCGUAACUACCCCGGCAAGCUGACGUUACUCAAUAGAAGAAGCACCGGCUAACUCUGUGCC
RNAcentral lists this ribosomal RNA (492 nucleotides) under uncultured bacterium. RNAcentral describes it as "bacterial SSU rRNA". It matches the Rfam family "Bacterial small subunit ribosomal RNA", at positions 29 to 509 of the family's 1533-position model. The record is from RNAcentral.